CUCCUCUCAGGGUGGUACCUGAAGAGUUUCCAGUACUCUACCAGUCUCAACUACGGGAGGGAGAGUCAAGCAGAGGCCUACCCCUUCCAUUCCUAGCUGGGACAGUGGCUAGUGAGUGGAAGGCAGUCUGCUACAAGU
RNAcentral lists this small nucleolar RNA (138 nucleotides) under Ornithorhynchus anatinus (platypus). Lineage: Eukaryota; Metazoa; Chordata; Mammalia; Monotremata; Ornithorhynchidae. The record is from RNAcentral.